This is a long non-coding RNA of Syngnathus typhle (broad-nosed pipefish), 3232 nucleotides long. RefSeq lists it as uncharacterized. The record is from RefSeq and is a predicted model, not a curated record. Lineage: Eukaryota; Metazoa; Chordata; Actinopteri; Syngnathiformes; Syngnathidae. The transcript is spliced from 5 exons.
UCUCGGCUACCGUACACUUCCGCUUCAGUGAGCAGGUAGCUUCAGGUUGUUACCUUUUGGGCUUUCGAGUGAGUCAUGUCAACUUUUUCCAAGCUCUCGAUUUGCUGUAUGUAUGUAAAUGCAUACAUGUAAACAAUGACAUGAAAGGAGAAUAUUUGUUAGUCGUUAGGUCUGUGGAAACUCGCUAGCUCUCGUGAAACAAGAGGUGGAGCGUUAGCUAGCACGCCCACAAGCAGCACUCACUCGGCUGUCAAUCAAUGGAUUAUCAAGGAAAGCGUUUGAUUUGAACGUUGGUUUUUCUAUGUUUUGCCACGUCCAACCUUGAAGACUGGAGGCUCCACGUCGGCUGCCGGUCGUCCAUCUAUCUGCACAUCUCGAAAGAGUAAACAAUCACAACAAAGUAACAAGUUGAAUGGCAGUCUGCUUGUCGGCCGGUGGGACGAGUGGUCGGCCGGUGGGACGAGUGGUCGGCCGGUGGGACGAGUGGUCGGCCGGUGGGACGAGUGGUCGGCCGGUGGGACGAGUGGUCGGCCGGUGGGACGAGUGGUCGGCCGGUGGGACGAGUGGUCGGCCGGUGGGACGAGUGGUCGGCCGGUGGGACGAGUGGUCGGCCGGUGGGACGAGUGGUCGGCCGGUGGGACGAGUGGUACGCCAUGCGUGGACCUGAGACAAAAAGAGUUUGCGGGGGCUCUUCAGGCAGCACAGAUCCAGAUGAACGAGCUCAGAGGCUGAAGACAAAUUGUGGCAGGCUUUUCACUUUCUGGACCUGGAUUUGCCACCUCUGCCUGGAAAGAAAAAGGAACAUUGAUUGACACAAGGACUGCAUUUAAGUUUACUGCUUUUGUUUUUUACUGUAGAGUGGAAGCAGAGAGUUGCUGUUUCACAGGCAGAGUUCCUGAAAUGUAAAAAUUCUCCAGGAUGGAUACCUGCACACAACACAAACCAAUCAAGCUGCCAUUUAGUAUAUUUUAUUUGUGUGUCAACUCUGAAAAUGGAGACAACCUGGAAGUACCUCUGCAUGGCUUUAGAGGGCUUUUAUCUUUGGCCAGUAGGUAGCGGAUGUCCCAACUGCAUCUUUACUGGAAAGUGUUCUGCAGGAAGAGGGAGGCAUAAAAAGUAAAGCAGAUCUUCACCAUGCUACAGAAGCUAGGUCCUUUGGCACCACCUAGUGGAUUAAAGACAAAGAACAUGCUAAAAUGUUUGACAUGUGUCAAACAUUUGGACACGUGCGUGUUUCACCAGUGAUGAAUGGAGGGCAGCACCGGACGUCUCUCCAACUACAGCUCGCUGGUCUGAAAGACAAGUCAGCCUGUUCCCUCGGUGCCAGAUGCAGGCCUGCCUGGGGACAGAAAUGAGAAGACUAUUAACGCAGUGGAUUGAAAGAGUUGACUUUAAAACUCACAAAGUCAGUCGGCCAUGACGGGCUCGUUUUGAGGGUUUGCACCUGCAGACAGAAAGUCGAAUAUUAACACGAAUUCAUCGAAAUACCUGUUUCAGUAAUUCUCUGGUGGAUUCAUGCAAAUGCUGCUAUGUCUACUUACCUUCGGCCAAACGGCGCUGUCGUCCAGACGUUGCUAAAUGUUUGUGCAAAAAUAGAGUUAGUCAUCUUUCCACACGGUGCGUGCCUCAGUUUGCAAAAUGUGCAUGUACUCACCCACCGUUGCAUGCUUCAAUUGUUUGGUUGCACGCCAGAUAAAUGCUUUUUGGUGGUUGUUGGAGAUGUUAACUGCUAACGCUAGCUUCUGCAAACUUUUGAGCUUGCAAGAUGGAAGCACGCCCAAAGUGCAACUAGAGGCUGAAAGAGAGCAAAAGCAGUUAGUUUCAAAAGGUCUAACAAGAGUUGAACACCCACCUUGUCACUUUUACACGCUGUUGUACGGCCGGCGCAGCAGGUGGACCAGAGCAACGUGGCUCUCGCUGUCAGUGGUGAGUGUCAGAAUGAGCGUCGCGUUCAUGACGCCUUUUAUACUCUUUUUGUGAUGACGUCAUUAGAAGAAGAAAAAAAAGAAAAAAAACCUUUCAAACAGGCCCUAAUGCGAGAGAAAAACUGCCAAGACUAAUCUCUGGAGGGUUCGGGCCUCGAACCAGCACUGCAAAGUUCGGAGGCAAUGGUGUUAUCCCCUCGACCAUUGUAGCCUGGAUGUUGACCAAAGAAUUUUGUCUAUUGUUCCAGAUCAUGAGGAUAUCUGCAAUAAAGGUUCAGAAUAACCUUCAAUUACAACUACUUGACCGUCGAAUGUAAGAUCUCGAAUGGCCGAGUGGUUAUAGCUUUUCCCUGGAGUUUGGGAGAGGCGGGUUCGAUUCUUAUGUAUCGCUCUAUUUAAUUUGCAAAAGCUGCAAAGAGCAAGUCUCGAACCCGAGGCUGCUGGACACCAACCCAUGUCGUGAACCAUUCUGCCAUUUUGGCGUUGAUUUUCUAAGUUUUCUUAAUGUAUUUAUAGUAUACGUCUCACGUAAUGGAUAAAAUUACCAAAUCGUCCAGUUCGUGCAGAACACCAACUGGUGUAAUGGUUAACGCUUUUGCCUUCUGUUCGGGAGAACCGAGUUCGAGUCUCACACUGCGUAAACUUUAGCUCAAAGUCCGCUUCGUGUGGGGCACGAACCAUAGUCUCCCGAACACCGGGUAAAGUUAAAAACCAUUAUGCCAUUUUGCCAGCGAAACCCGGCACUUUUUUUUCGGAAGUGUACUGAAGAAUUGCAACUUAUUCAAACCUAAAUUACCAUUGCUGUAAUACUCAAUGGUGUAGUAGGAAAAGCCUUUGCCUUGUGUGCGGGAGAACAUGAUUCGAAUCUUACACAGAUUCAACUGUAGUCAAAGACUGGUUCGUGUGGGGCUCGAACCAUAGUCUCCCGAACACCGGGUAAAGUUAUAAACCAUUCUGCCACUUUGGCGGGGAAAUCCCGCUAGUUUUUCUUUGGUAGUGUAUUGAACAUAGAGGACGUUGUCACGAAAAGGAAAAAUUGACAUGUUCAUUUUACGCUGGGUUACAUACAAGUGAAUGGAGGCACUGCCAUCUUGCGGUAGCUUGGCGUCAUUACAUAAACCGCUUCAGAAACUAGAGUCAAACGCCUGUGUUUAAUAUUGUACGACGUACGUAUUCAUUUAAUUCUGCUUAUGUGAUGAUAUUUUAAAUGUACAAUUAAAUACUCAUAUGUUUAAGUUCUUAUAACCAUAUUGUAACUGAACUAAAAUGAUAUUGUCAUUAAAGAGAGAGCAAUGAUGAAAUGGAAA